Molecule: ribosomal RNA, 459 nt
Filed under: uncultured bacterium
Lineage: Bacteria
Description: partial 16S ribosomal RNA
Rfam family: Bacterial small subunit ribosomal RNA
Source: RNAcentral
CCUACGGGUGGCUGCAGUGAGGAAUAUUGGUCAAUGGCCGCAGGGCUGAACCAGCCAAGUCGCGUGAGGGAUGACGGUCCUAUGGAUUGUAAACCUCUUUUGUCAGGGAGCAAAGGGCGCCACGCGUGGCGUGUUGCGAGUACCUGAAGAAAAAGCAUCGGCUAACUCCGUGCCAGCAGCCGCGGUAAUACGGAGGAUUCGAGCGUUAUCCGGAUUUAUUGGGUUUAAAGGGUGCGCAGGCGGAAUGUCAAGUCCGCGGUAAAAUCUCGGGGCUCAACCCCGUCGUGCCGUUGAAACUGGCGUUCUUGAGUGGGCGAGAAGUAUGCGGAAUGCGUGGUGUAGCGGUGAAAUGCAUAGAUAUCGCGCAGAACUCCGAUUGCGAAGGCAGCAUGCCGGCGCUCAACUGACGCUCAUGCACGAAAGCGUGGGUAUCGAACAGGAUUAGAUACCCGGGUAGUC